AACGGGGGGGACGAGUGUUACUCAACUUGACUGGGCGUAAAGGGCAACUAGACGGUUCGUUAAGUCCUGUGUGAAAUCCCCCGGCUCAACUGGGGAACUGCACAGGAAACUAGCGGGCUUGAGUUCGGGAGAGGGAAGCGGAAUUCCGGGUGUAGCGGUGAAAUGCGUAGAUAUCCGGAGGAACACCGGUGGCGAAGGCGGCUUCCUGGACCGACACUGACGCUGAGGCGCGAAAGCUAGGGGAGCAAACGGG
RNAcentral lists this ribosomal RNA (253 nucleotides) under uncultured bacterium. RNAcentral describes it as "partial 16S ribosomal RNA". It matches the Rfam family "Bacterial small subunit ribosomal RNA", at positions 524 to 776 of the family's 1533-position model. The record is from RNAcentral.